This is a long non-coding RNA of Seriola aureovittata, 250 nucleotides long. RefSeq lists it as uncharacterized. The transcript has 3 exons. Lineage: Eukaryota; Metazoa; Chordata; Actinopteri; Carangiformes; Carangidae. The record is from RefSeq and is a predicted model, not a curated record.
GUUUGACGGUGGCAACUGAGCCGACAUACAUUCGUUCCUUGAUGUUGAGGAGUAACACAUCGCUCUGCCGGUGCCCCCAGUUGGAUCUCCUAACUGGCAGCGUGCUGAACAGAAUCUACUGUUGAUGCAGUUUGUAGUUGAAGUUUUCAACACAGGAACAGGAAAUGAAAGAAUGAAGUCAAUCUUCUUAAUUCCAGUUGAUUUUAAUUAUCAAAUGUACAUCAUCUCAGAGUUUAGUUUCACAUUAAAU